Long non-coding RNA from Panicum virgatum (switchgrass), 848 nucleotides. RefSeq lists it as uncharacterized. NCBI's taxonomy places the organism in Eukaryota, Viridiplantae, Streptophyta, Magnoliopsida, Poales, Poaceae. The transcript is spliced from 2 exons. The record is from RefSeq and is a predicted model, not a curated record.
CACGCUGCCGCUGAGUAAGAACAUGGUGCUGAAUCACCAGAUUCUGAUAUUGUUCCGUCAGAACAUGGUGCUAUGCCGUGCAGACUGCAGACCAUGCUAUUUCUCUUUUUCUCCUCUACUUCUUCUCUCCCUUUAUAUCUUCUUUGUAUGGUCUGGUUACUUUCUUUUGCAUUUUCUUUUUAUUAGUACAGUCUGGUUUCUUUGUAUUUUCUUUGUAGGAUCUGGCUUCCUUCUCCGUGUCACAAUACCUUUCGUGCACUCACAUUUGCUCCUCUAGAUUGACCGGAUUUGGAGGCAGCGAUGUGCCGGUGGAAUGGGGAGGCAAGGCAACAGGAGGAAAUCUUAAUAUCCACGCCUCCAACUGCUACUUGUGACAGGAACAAAAAGAGAGCAAAGGAAAAUGAAGUACGAACCAAUAUUUCGCGACUGAAACAAACUAAUGCGAACGUACAUGUGAGCAUGAUCCCUACCAGGUUGUUUGCCAAUCAAAACAGCGGGAGAGGAUAUUAGUGUGCAAAAUGCGCGAGUGCAGUACAGGCGCGGCGUUCAUUCUCGGUGAACCAAACGGAGGCCAACGAGAGCCUGAGCUAUUUUGCCUGUGCUAUCGCGCCGGUCAUACGCGCAUCACACGUGGAGGCUUCGUGGCGCCGUCAUUCGUGGGCCUAACCGGUCAUAUGCGCAUCACACGUGGAGGCUUCAUGGCGCCGUUCUUGCCUCGCUAAAAUUUCCCUCUUUCGUCGCUCAACAUCACUCUUGCCGUCCCCUGCUCUUUGCGGACCUGCAGUGACGGACGAGGGUAGAUGUAUGCUGCUAUUGUUUGUUUCGAUUUCUGAAAUACAUUUUUUCUA